UACAGAGGUGGCAAGCGUUGUUCGGAAUUACUGGGCGUAAAGGGCGCGUAGGCGGUCUUGCAAGUCCCGUGUGAAAUCCCUCGGCUCAACUGAGGAACUGCACGGGAAACUGUUUGGCUUGAGUUCGGGAGAGGGAAGCGGAAUUCCGGGUGUAGCGGUGAAAUGCGUAGAUAUCCGGAGGAACACCGGUGGCGAAGGCGGCUUCCUGGACCGACACUGACGCUGAGGCGCGAAAGCUAGGGGAGCAAACAGG
RNAcentral lists this ribosomal RNA (253 nucleotides) under uncultured bacterium. Its description in RNAcentral is "partial 16S ribosomal RNA". It matches the Rfam family "Bacterial small subunit ribosomal RNA", at positions 524 to 776 of the family's 1533-position model. The record is from RNAcentral.